UUUUGUGCUUUUACAUAACGUAUGACAUUUUUAACUUUAUAAUUUCGAAGGGAGCCGUGGUAUACAUAUAUAAGUAUAUAAGAAACGCGAAAUUACCAAGACGGCAGAGCUAACAGACGUUGCGUUCCGGUUUGAAGGGUGAGUGAGCCAGUGUAACUACAGACUCAAGAACAUAACAUAAUAGUUCCCAAGUUUGGGUGCAAUGUCUAUGGGCAGUGGUGACCACUUAACAUCAGGCCUAUUUGCCCUUUUUUUCGAACUGUCUAGUAGCUGUUGGCCCUAAUGGCCUCUACAGCGUCACCGGGUGGGUUGGGCGAGAUGAACUCCAUUAUAUAUUAUUAUUAUAAAUGCGACUCUGCAACUCUCUGUCGGUGACGCUUUCACGGCUAAACCAUUGAACAGGAUUUAAGGCAAUUUGCUAUGUAGCGAGCUUGAACACCCUAAGGACAUUCCUAACACCAGUUCCUUCCCCCCUAAAACGCGGGCGUAAACUAAUUCUAUAAAAUUUCAAUUAGUAACUAGCCCUCUAGUAUUAUACUUAUGAUAUCUGUGGCACGCAUUGUGAAAUAUUGUGGUUUUAUUUUUGUAUAUGUACUGCUUUUACUGACUGUAUUAGUUAUAUGAGCCAAAUAAAUAAAUCCAUAAAAUGUUCAACGUUCAGCAAAUCACAAGUCGCGCCAAUAAUUAAUUAAUUACUUUAUCUUUCAGCGCAUUAACAAAAUGUCGGUUUUAAAUUAGAGCGCGUCUCUUUUUGACAACGGUUUUGUAUUUUUUCCUUUAAUAGGUAGGCGGACGAGAAAAUGGGCCACCUGAUGGUAAGUGGUAACCACCGUUCGUAGACAUUGGCAUUGAAAGGAAUGUUAACCAUCGCUUACAUCGCCAAUGCACCACUAACCUUGGGAACUAAGAUGUUAUGUCCCUUGUGCCUGUAAUUACCCCGGCUCACUCACCCUUGUGUUGUUUUGCUUAGAAUAUCUGAUGAGUGGGUGGUACCUACCCAGACGAGCUUGCACAUAAUGCUACCACCAGUAAAUCUAGGAAUCUCUGUAAAUAAUUCAAGAUUUUGAACCUUCGAGAUUCACGACCAAAGAUAUCUCCUGUUUAGCAACAGCCUAAGGACAUUGCUUCGUUAAGGAAAUAUUUAGGAAUAAUAAUUAUUAGUCACUAUUUUGUUUAAACCACGUUGUUUUUAAGUGAUCGUAUUCUAUGGAAACUCCAAGUACGAUAUCCCAAAAAGUGGCGUAGCUAUCGUACGGCCAAGUGGUGCAGAGCACCGGGGCUCCAGAGCUCAGGAGGGCCUCUAACCUCAGCUUUGAAAAGAAAACAAUAUAAAAGAAAAAAAUAAUUCUUGUGUGAACGGGGAAUUCUGUUAAAAAUCGUUUUUAUUGAUCUCAUCUGUAUAAUAAAUAUUCUGUAUUGUCA
Molecule: long non-coding RNA, 1422 nt
Organism: Nymphalis io (European peacock)
Lineage: Eukaryota; Metazoa; Arthropoda; Insecta; Lepidoptera; Nymphalidae
Exons: 2
Source: RefSeq, a predicted model, not a curated record